Molecule: ribosomal RNA, 253 nt
Filed under: uncultured bacterium
Lineage: Bacteria
Description: partial 16S ribosomal RNA
Rfam family: Bacterial small subunit ribosomal RNA
Source: RNAcentral
UACGGAGGGUGCGAGCGUUGUCCGGAAUCACUGGGCGUAAAGGGUGCGUAGGCGGUUUGGUAAGUCUGAUGUGAAAUCUAUGGGCUCAACUCAUAGUCUGCAUCGGAAACUGCCGGGCUUGAGUAUGGGAGAGGUGAGUGGAAUUCCUGGUGUAGCGGUGAAAUGCGUAGAUAUCAGGAGGAACACCUGUGGCGAAAGCGGCUCACUGGACCAUAACUGACGCUGAUGCACGAAAGCUAGGGGAGCAAACAGG